This is a long non-coding RNA of Ruditapes philippinarum (Manila clam), 248 nucleotides long. RefSeq lists it as uncharacterized. The transcript is spliced from 2 exons. The record is from RefSeq and is a predicted model, not a curated record. Lineage: Eukaryota; Metazoa; Mollusca; Bivalvia; Venerida; Veneridae.
CAAAUUUUCAGACAUCGAUGGUUUACAAGCUUAUGAAGGGAAAGCUAAAAAUCACAUCAAAGAGAUCACCAAACGUGAAGCUGGACGUAUGGACCAGGAAUUGAAAAAGGCGGACGAUAGAGAAGAAGAUUAAAAGUUCCAAGUGAACCUGUUUUUAAGAUACUUCAAUACUGCAUUGACACAAACAUGUAAAACACCAAUAUCAGUUUUCAUGUCAACCAAUUGACAAAUAAAAUAUUAAACCGCUA